GUUCGAUUAUUUGCAGUCAGUAACAGGGAUUCAUCCUUGUGUCCAUCACAUAGCAAGGGGAAUCUUUGUCACUCACUGUAAGUAAUAGCCUU
This 92-nucleotide microRNA precursor is filed under the name Jaculus jaculus (lesser Egyptian jerboa). RNAcentral's name for it is "miRNA (ENSJJAG00000006293.1)". It matches the Rfam family "mir-802 microRNA precursor family". Lineage: Eukaryota; Metazoa; Chordata; Mammalia; Rodentia; Dipodidae. The record is from RNAcentral.